UUUGAGAAUUAUAAUAUCGAAGACACGCAGUGGCGGCUCUAUACGUCUAAAAACAAAUCCUCGGUUUGGUAGUUUUUGUUCAACACGUCAUAUAAAAUCCGGUUGAUGGUGAACCGGAGUAGCGCAAACGACCCCGACAGCGAUAAGUUCGUCGACGUUUCUCCGAGGCAUUUUCAUCUCGCCGUACACACAACGUACAUAUAUGUGCACGUACCUUCGUGUGUGUGCACAACACGCCAUCGUGCGUCUAGUAGACACGAGGCUCUAAAGGAUUUUAAUAUCCUGCUUCGUUCUCUUCUCGGCACACUGCAUUGACGGUACAAUCUACUACACGAAGCGACCCACGCAACACAAACGUAAACAGACGAGUGUGUGGGACACGUGACACGUAUUAUAGAUCGAUGGGGGGGCUUUCUACUAACCUCUUUUUGUUGACCAUUCAAACCAAAGAUGUUCUCAUCGAUCGGAUAAAAUUGCGACAAAGUCCUCGUAUUACUGUACUUGAACCCAUUAUUUUGCAAAAGACCAAAGAGUUUGGAAACGACGCGAUUCACGUUGUAACUCAUGAUGUACAAUUAAUACAAAAGUGCGUAUUGAUCAAGUCAA
Long non-coding RNA from Venturia canescens, 606 nucleotides. RefSeq lists it as uncharacterized. The record is from RefSeq and is a predicted model, not a curated record. The transcript is spliced from 2 exons. NCBI's taxonomy places the organism in Eukaryota, Metazoa, Arthropoda, Insecta, Hymenoptera, Ichneumonidae.